This is a non-coding RNA of Trichonephila inaurata madagascariensis, 73 nucleotides long. NCBI's taxonomy places the organism in Eukaryota, Metazoa, Arthropoda, Arachnida, Araneae, Nephilidae. The record is from the annotation of a GenBank genome assembly.
GUCCCUGUAAUGCAAUGGAUAGCGUGUUGGUCUUCUAAUCCAAAGGUCUUAGGUUCGAAUCCUACCUGGGAUG